ACACCUCAACCCUCAUGGUUUGCCAUGAUGGGCUUGGACUUUGGGGGAAUUGCUGGAUUGCGGUCAGCUCCCCUUAAAUGAAUCAGCUUGCCAGUGUUUGGUGGCAUCACAGGUGUGAUAACUAUCUACGCUUGUGGUUUUACAUCAGAUAACCUUCAUGAUGGAGGUUCACUGGAGCUCAUAAAUGUCCCUCCUCUGUGAGGACAGCACUUUGAAU
This 217-nucleotide unclassified non-coding RNA is filed under the name uncultured Tomentella. RNAcentral describes it as "sequence contains ITS2". The record is from RNAcentral. Lineage: Eukaryota; Fungi; Basidiomycota; Agaricomycetes; Thelephorales; Thelephoraceae.